Small nuclear RNA from Suricata suricatta (meerkat), 184 nucleotides. Its record names the gene U2. It matches the Rfam family "U2 spliceosomal RNA". From Rfam's summary of the family: U2 is a small nuclear RNA (snRNA) component of the spliceosome (involved in pre-mRNA splicing). Complementary binding between U2 snRNA (in an area lying towards the 5' end but 3' to hairpin I) and the branchpoint sequence (BPS) of the intron results the bulging out of an unpaired adenosine, on the BPS, which initiates a nucleophilic attack at the intronic 5' splice site, thus starting the first of two transesterification reactions that mediate splicing. Lineage: Eukaryota; Metazoa; Chordata; Mammalia; Carnivora; Herpestidae. The record is from Ensembl.
AUCGCUUCUCGGCCUUUUGGCUAAGAUCAAGUGUAGUAUCUGUUCACGUCAGCUUGAUAUUUCUGCUGUUCCUGGGCCCCCCAUCUUUAUGACGUUUCCUUCCAGUGUCCUCAGGCUUCCUUGGGAUCAGAGACUGGGGACCCAGUCUGCUCAACUUCCUGUUUUGGUGAAGGAGGCACGUCAA